GUGGGGAAUAUUGGACAAUGGGGGGAACCCUGAUCCAGCCAUGCCGCGUGUGUGAAGAAGGCCUUUUGGUUGUAAAGCACUUUAAGCGAGGAGGAGGCUACCGAGAUUAAUACUCUUGGAUAGUGGACGUUACUCGCAGAAUAAGCACCGGCUAACUCUGUGCCAGCAGCCGCGGUAAUACAGAGGGUGCGAGCGUUAAUCGGAUUUACUGGGCGUAAAGCGCGCGUAGGUGGCCAAUUAAGUCAAAUGUGAAAUCCCCGAGCUUAACUUGGGAAUUGCAUUCGAUACUGGUUGGCUAGAGUAUGGGAGAGGAUGGUAGAAUUCCAGGUGUAGCGGUGAAAUGCGUAGAGAUCUGGAGGAAUACCGAUGGCGAAGGCAGCCAUCUGGCCUAAUACUGACACUGAGGUGCGAAAGCAUGGGGAGCAAACAGGAUUAGAUACCCGAGUAGUCC
This 451-nucleotide ribosomal RNA is filed under the name uncultured bacterium. RNAcentral's name for it is "partial 16S ribosomal RNA". It matches the Rfam family "Bacterial small subunit ribosomal RNA", at positions 354 to 796 of the family's 1533-position model. The record is from RNAcentral.